RNAcentral lists this long non-coding RNA (3173 nucleotides) under Durio zibethinus. RNAcentral's name for it is "long non-coding RNA (DZIB_LNC002273)". The record is from RNAcentral. Lineage: Eukaryota; Viridiplantae; Streptophyta; Magnoliopsida; Malvales; Malvaceae.
AAUGAUAUUUUUUAAAUAUUUAUAUUUAAAAAAUAAUAUUUUAUAUUUUAAAAAUAAUAUUUUAUUAAUUUCGAGUCGGAUUGAAUCAGGUACGAUUUAUAUAAUAUCGGAUUAAAUUCAAAUAUAAAAAAAUUUAAAAAAAAUUUAGAUAAGAUCGAAUUCAAAUUUAAUAACACAUAAAAUCGAAUUAAGUUCGAAACGAAUAAAAUUCGUUCCGAACCCGACCCAAUGACAACUUUAGUAAUAGAUUACAUGGUUGAAAUUUUAGACUUUUAAAAAAAUACAUUUAAUGUAUCAUAUUUUUAUCAAAUUAAAUCGAAUAAAAAAAUAUAAUAAUAAUAAUAAUAAUAAUUGUGUUUACACGGUACGGCAACGAGAAAAUAAAUCGGGUAACAAUACUGUCAGGAUCUUACAUUCAAAUGAAUAAAUAAAUAUAUAAAACAGCCAAAAAAUGAAAAAAUCCAUCGGACGUCAUUUUAUCGAUCUAUUUGUUUUUCUCAUUCGUCUUACCGGAACCCUGGCCGCCACGGCACCUUUCGUUAGGGUGGCAUCCUCUCUGGUAGGUGGAAGCAGGCGGUGGGCAGUUCUCGGGGUGACUAGGGCUGCAUCCCGGAGCCAUACUCUUUCCGAUGGAUCCAUAUCCGAGCGAUGAAGCCUCUUGGGAACCCGCUGCAAGGUGCGCCAAAAGCACCAAAAGCGCCAGCAGAGAUAUAAAGAAAAAAAUUACUCCUUUAAUCAUAGACAUUAAAGGCAGACCGUUCGUGAGAGGCAGGAGACGCUGGAGAUAGAUGAAAUCAAAUCAAAUUAAGUAUUUAUAGAUUGAAAAUAAUUAAUCUAGAACAAUAUUAGAAUGAUCUUAGCCUAUCUAGAAGCAUAUGGUAGCCGUCUAAAUUAGAGACUUCUAUAUAGAUUUAGCUUUUUAAAUAUCAUUUACUAAAAAAGAUGGCAUAAAUUUAUUUAAUUAAAUCUUAAAUUUAAGUAACUAAUCACUUUUUCCUCUAUAUAAAAAGUAUUAAAAUAUCUUUAAAAAAAAGUAUUAAACUAAAAUAUUUUUCUAGCUUGAUGAUAUAAUUUCCACAUUUUUUCUUUAAAUUUAUUUUGAUAAAAAAAAAAAAAAAAGGAAUUUGAUCACCAUGCUUUCAAUAGAGAGACUACAAAAUAGCAUUGGACUCUGAUCACUAUGAUUACUGUAUUUUUGGACUUUUAUUUCAGGGAUGAGAUGACAGUAUUGCUCUAUCUUUUAUUAAUGAAAAUUUAUUAUUGGGUGAGAAAAAAAAAAAAAGAGAUUAAAAAUUUUAAAUUUGUUAGAUGUUAUAUUUUAAAAGUAAUUGUAUGAAUUAAUUAAAUUAAAUUAUAUAUUUAUUAUGUAUUUUUUUUUAUUUUUUUUGCAUUGAUUAGAUAUUGCUUUGACAAAAAUUUUCAACUAUAAUUGGUCCAACUUAACAGAAUAAUUUAAAUAAAUGAGAAAUUAAUAAUAAUGAUUUGGGAUCCGGUGGGUUGUGAUUAUUGAUUCUUUGAGUUGUAAAUCAAUACUACAUUUAAUUUUCAAAUACUUAAUUAUUUGCUUUUGAGUGAUUUUUGGAUCUUUAAGUUUAAACAUACCAUAUGGCAGCCUGUCAAAUUGUGAAUAAUGCACUUGCCUUUUCUUUUUAAUUUUUUAAAAAUUUCAAAUAUUUUAACGUUUUUGUUAUUUAUUUUUUAAAAUAAUAUUUCAAUUGGGGAACUUACAUGUUUUAUUUUAUCUUGGAAUACAGACAAAACCCUCUAAUGUAAGAGUAAUAAAAGUCAAAUGCUUUUGGCUGGUCUGAAAGUAUUAGUAACAACAAACCAUGUGCUAACACGUGAAUCCAUUCCGUAAAUCACUAAAGAUUACUAUAAACAGUAAACAUGACUAUACAGAUAAUUUUUUCUGAGAUAUUUGGUUACAGAAUAUAUGUAAAUGGUUUGAUAAUUACAAGGUUUGAUUGUGACAAAAAUUAAAGCACACGUUAAGCAUUGACUUAAGACUUAUUGACCAGCUGAAACCAAUGGAAAAAGGUAUCACUGUAAAUUAUCUGGAGUUCCUGAAUAGAAAAAUAAUUUCAGUCAACAAAAUUUAAUAUUCCUUCUUACAACUGGUUUCUUCAAUAAUCAAAGUUGAAAACAUGGGAUCAUGAGAAGAAGGUUAAAAGAUUAAUAAAUAAAAUUUCUAAGGGAGGUGUUUCUUCAGCCAAGUAUAUGAAGUAAACUGUACAGUACUGGCUUGUGAUGAAACCAUAGCUAUCAGGGACGUUGGAAAGAAGAACCCAUUGAACCGGAAUCAGGUCUUCAACUUAGGAAAAAGAACCCAUUGAACCAGAAUCAUGUGUUCAACUUAGGAAUCAGGAGGAUUAAGUUAAACCUUAGUAAAUCAAAGUUGCAGAGAUGCAAAAAUGGAUGGAAAUUCAAAAUUAUAUAUCACAGGUAGAGAUUUGUGUUGAAAACUGGUUACAUUUCCAAGUUCUUGUGAUGAGUAAAUGAUUCAAGAGCUAUCGUAUGUUUUCAUGAAAGUUAGAGGCUAUUAAGCCAUCAGGGUUGUUGAGGAAGCAGAAUUACAUAAAAGAAAAACAAAAACCUCACAGAAAACAAUAAGAGCUAAAAACAAAAAAUACAUCAUAGAGAUACAAGAGAAUAAAGCUGAAAGGACAAACUCCAAUGAGUUUGGAUAGCUUUUUAUUAACUUUUUGUUUAACAAAAAUUUUUUAUUAACUUUUUGUUUUUUAAAAAGAAAAAGCAACACAAAACAAAAACACUGCAAUUACAUGCACAAAGGAGAGGUUAGAGAAAUUAACUUACACUGUUGUUCUUGGCAUAAUCUUUGUGAGAAGGAGCUUGAGUUCCCAUGUCUGAAACACAGCAAAAACUACAAAGCAAGGAGGGAAAGGAGAUCAAAACCAAAAGAAAUUGAAACUUGGAAAUUUCCCACUGGUUUGGUUAGUAUUUAUAAAGGAGAAAUCCCAGUCCAAUAGUUAAAAAAAGGAGAAAAAAGUGGCUACAAGAGUUCUGGAAACUGACGUUUUUGGUGGUUUUGUUUGAUUCAAAAAGUCUUUAUGCAGACAAAGAACUGUUAAUAAAUUCAACUAACCAAUUUUUAUUCAUUGGAUUAUUAGCUGGUGCAAGGUCUUUGAAGAAAAUUCCACGAACCUUGAGACCAC